This 1539-nucleotide ribosomal RNA is filed under the name Shigella sonnei. Its description in RNAcentral is "partial 23S ribosomal RNA". It matches the Rfam family "Bacterial large subunit ribosomal RNA", at positions 1418 to 2925 of the family's 2925-position model. The record is from RNAcentral. Lineage: Bacteria; Pseudomonadati; Pseudomonadota; Gammaproteobacteria; Enterobacterales; Enterobacteriaceae.
AUGGGAAACAGGUUAAUAUUCCUGUACUUGGUGUUACUGCGAAGGGGGGACGGAGAAGGCUAUGUUGGCCGGGCGACGGUUGUCCCGGUUUAAGCGUGUAGGCUGGUUUUCCAGGCAAAUCCGGAAAAUCAAGGCUGAGGCGUGAUGACGAGGCACUACGGUGCUGAAGCAACAAAUGCCCUGCUUCCAGGAAAAGCCUCUAAGCAUCAGGUAACAUCAAAUCGUACCCCAAACCGACACAGGUGGUCAGGUAGAGAAUACCAAGGCGCUUGAGAGAACUCGGGUGAAGGAACUAGGCAAAAUGGUGCCGUAACUUCGGGAGAAGGCACGCUGAUAUGUAGGUGAAGUCCCUUGCGGAUGGAGCUGAAAUCAGUCGAAGAUACCAGCUGGCUGCAACUGUUUAUUAAAAACACAGCACUGUGCAAACACGAAAGUGGACGUAUACGGUGUGACGCCUGCCCGGUGCCGGAAGGUUAAUUGAUGGGGUCAGCGCAAGCGAAGCUCUUGAUCGAAGCCCCGGUAAACGGCGGCCGUAACUAUAACGGUCCUAAGGUAGCGAAAUUCCUUGUCGGGUAAGUUCCGACCUGCACGAAUGGCGUAAUGAUGGCCAGGCUGUCUCCACCCGAGACUCAGUGAAAUUGAACUCGCUGUGAAGAUGCAGUGUACCCGCGGCAAGACGGAAAGACCCCGUGAACCUUUACUAUAGCUUGACACUGAACAUUGAGCCUUGAUGUGUAGGAUAGGUGGGAGGCUUUGAAGUGUGGACGCCAGUCUGCAUGGAGCCGGCCUUGAAAUACCACCCUUUAAUGUUUGAUGUUCUAACGUGGACCCGUGAUCCGGGUUGCGGACAGUGUCUGGUGGGUAGUUUGACUGGGGCGGUCUCCUCCUAAAGAGUAACGGAGGAGCACGAAGGUUGGCUAAUCCUGGUCGGACAUCAGGAGGUUAGUGCAAUGGCAUAAGCCAGCUUGACUGCGAGCGUGACGGCGCGAGCAGGUGCGAAAGCAGGUCAUAGUGAUCCGGUGGUUCUGAAUGGAAGGGCCAUCGCUCAACGGAUAAAAGGUACUCCGGGGAUAACAGGCUGAUACCGCCCAAGAGUUCAUAUCGACGGCGGUGUUUGGCACCUCGAUGUCGGCUCAUCACAUCCUGGGGCUGAAGUAGGUCCCAAGGGUAUGGCUGUUCGCCAUUUAAAGUGGUACGCGAGCUGGGUUUAGAACGUCGUGAGACAGUUCGGUCCCUAUCUGCCGUGGGCGCUGGAGAACUGAGGGGGGCUGCUCCUAGUACGAGAGGACCGGAGUGGACGCAUCACUGGUGUUCGGGUUGUCAUGCCAAUGGCACUGCCCGGUAGCUAAAUGCGGAAGAGAUAAGUGCUGAAAGCAUCUAAGCACGAAACUUGCCCCGAGAUGAGUUCUCCCUGACCCUUUAAGGGUCCUGAAGGAACGUUGAAGACGACGACGUUGAUAGGCCGGGUGUGUAAGCGCAGCGAUGCGUUGAGCUAACCGGUACUAAUGAACCGUGAGGCUUAACCUUACAACGCCGAAG